RNAcentral lists this ribosomal RNA (445 nucleotides) under uncultured bacterium. Its description in RNAcentral is "SSU rRNA". It matches the Rfam family "Bacterial small subunit ribosomal RNA", at positions 26 to 518 of the family's 1533-position model. The record is from RNAcentral.
AGAACGAACGCUGGCGGCAUGCCUAACACAUGCAAGUCGAACGAGACCUUCGGGUCUAGUGGCGCACGGGUGCGUAACGCGUGGGAAUCUGCCCUUAGGUACGGAAUAACAGUGAGAAAUUACUGCUAAUACCGUAUGACGUCUUCGGACCAAAGAUUUAUCGCCUAGGGAUGAGCCCGCGUUGGAUUAGCUAGUUGGUUGGGUAAAGGCCUACCAAGGCGACGAUCCAUAGCUGGUCUGAGAGGAUGAUCAGCCACACUGGGACUGAGACACGGCCCAGACUCCUACGGGAGGCAGCAGUGGGGAAUAUUGGACAAUGGGCGAAAGCCUGAUCCAGCAAUGCCGCGUGAGUGAAGAAGGCCUUAGGGUUGUAAAGCUCUUUUACCCGGGAAGAUAAUGACUGUACCGGGAGAAUAAGCCCGGCUAACUCCGCGCCAGCAGCCGC